GACCCGUUAGCUCAGUUGGUAGAGCAAUUCCCUUUUAAGGAAUGGGCCCUAGGUUCGAAUCCUAGACGGGUCACCA
RNAcentral lists this transfer RNA (76 nucleotides) under Sulfurovum sp. NBC37-1. RNAcentral's name for it is "tRNA-Lys (TTT) (tRNA-Lys-TTT-1-1, tRNA-Lys-TTT-1-2)". It matches the Rfam family "tRNA". From Rfam's summary of the family: Transfer RNA (tRNA) molecules are approximately 80 nucleotides in length. RNAcentral also lists the same sequence under 15 other names. Lineage: Bacteria; Pseudomonadati; Campylobacterota; Epsilonproteobacteria; Campylobacterales; Sulfurovaceae. The record is from RNAcentral.